GGGGAAUAUUGCACAAUGGGCGCAAGCCUGACGCAGCCAUGCCGCGUGUAUGAAGAAGGCCUUUGGGUUGUAAAGUACUUUCAGCGAGGAGGAAGGGGAUGUGGUUAAUAACCACAUUCAUUGACGUUACUCGCAGAAGAAGCACCGGCUAACUCCGUGCCAGCAGCCGCGGUAAUACGGAGGGUGCAAGCGUUAAUCGGAAUUACUGGGCGUAAAGCGCACGCAGGCGGUCUGUCAAGUCGGAUGUGAAAUCCCCGGGCUCAACCUGGGAACUGCAUUCGAAACUGGCAGGCUAGAGUCUUGUAGAGGGGGGUAGAAUUCCAGGUGUAGCGGUGAAAUGCGUAGAGAUCUGGAGGAAUACCGGUGGCGAAGGCGGCCCCCUGGACAAAGACUGACGCUCAGGUGCGAAAGCGUGGGGAGCAAAC
This 425-nucleotide ribosomal RNA is filed under the name uncultured bacterium. RNAcentral describes it as "bacterial SSU rRNA". It matches the Rfam family "Bacterial small subunit ribosomal RNA", at positions 356 to 773 of the family's 1533-position model. The record is from RNAcentral.